RNAcentral lists this ribosomal RNA (484 nucleotides) under uncultured bacterium. RNAcentral describes it as "partial 16S ribosomal RNA". It matches the Rfam family "Bacterial small subunit ribosomal RNA", at positions 30 to 507 of the family's 1533-position model. The record is from RNAcentral.
AUUGAACGCUGGCGGCAGGCCUAACACAUGCAAGUCGAGCGGAUGAAGGGAGCUUGCUCCUGGAUUCAGCGGCGGACGGGUGAGUAAUGCCUAGGAAUCUGCCUGGUAGUGGGGGAUAACGUCCGGAAACGGGCGCUAAUACCGCAUACGUCCUGAGGGAGAAAGUGGGGGGUCUUCGGACCUCACGCUAUCAGAUGAGCCUAGGUCGGAUUAGCUAGUUGGUGGGGUAAAGGCCUACCAAGGCGAGCAUCCGUAAGUGGUCUGAGUGGAUGAUCAGUCACACUGGAACUGAGACACAGACCAGACUCCUACGGGAGGCAGCAGUGUGGAAUAUUGGACAAUGGGCGAAAGCCUGAUCCAGCCAGGCCGCGUGUGUGAAGAAGGUCUUCGGAUUGUAAAGCACUUUAAGUUGGGAGGAAGGGCAGUAAGUUAAUACCUUGCUGUUUUGACGUUACCAACAGAAUAAGCACCGGCUAACUUCGUG